This 330-nucleotide unclassified non-coding RNA is filed under the name soil metagenome. RNAcentral's name for it is "partial contains 5.8S ribosomal RNA, internal transcribed spacer 2, and large subunit ribosomal RNA". The stretch from base 4 to 118 matches the Rfam family "5.8S ribosomal RNA", at positions 40 to 154 of the family's 154-position model. The record is from RNAcentral.
GAUGGAACGCAGCGAAAUGCGAUAAGUAAUGUGAAUUGCAGAAUUCAGUGAAUCAUCGAAUCUUUGAACGCACAUUGCGCCCCCUGGUAUUCCGGGGGGCAUGCCUGUUCGAGCGUCAUUUCACCACUCAAGCCUCGCUUGGUAUUGGGCGACGCGGUCCGCCGCGCGCCUCAAAUCGACCGGCUGGGUCUUCCGUCCCCUCAGCGUUGUGGAAACUAUUCGCUAAAGGGUGCCGCGGGAGGUCACGCCGCAAAACAACCCCAUUUCUAAGGUUGACCUCGGAUCAGGUAGGGAUACCCGCUGAACUUAAGCAUAUCAAUAAGCGGAGGA